RNAcentral lists this ribosomal RNA (250 nucleotides) under uncultured archaeon. RNAcentral describes it as "partial 16S ribosomal RNA". It matches the Rfam family "Archaeal small subunit ribosomal RNA", at positions 474 to 723 of the family's 1478-position model. RNAcentral also lists the same sequence under 1 other name. The record is from RNAcentral.
CACCGGCGGCCCGAGUGGUGAUCGUGAUUAUUGGGUCUAAAGGGUCCGUAGCCGGUUUGGUCAGUCCUCCGGGAAAUCUGAUAGCUCAACUAUUAGGCUUUCGGGGGAAACUGGCGAUCUUGGAACCGGGAGAGGUAAGACGUACUUCGGGGGUAGGAGUGAAAUCUUGUAAUCCCUGUGGGACCACCUGUGGCGAAGGCGUCUUACCAGAACGGGUUCGACGGUGAGGGACGAAAGCUGGGGGCACGAA